AGGACGAACGCUGGCGGCGUGCUUAACACAUGCAAGUCGAGCGGAAAGGCCCUUCGGGGUACUCGAGCGGCGAACGGGUGAGUAACACGUGAGCAACCUGCCCUUAGCUCCGGGAUAGCUCCGGGAAACCGGAAUUAAUACCGGAUAUGACCUAGGCCGACAUCGGCUGUGGUGGAAAGUUUUUCGGCUGGGGAUGGACUCGCGGCCUAUCAGCUUGUUGGUGGGUAAUGGCCUACCAAGGCGACGACGGGUAGCCGGCCUGAGAGGGCGACCGGCCACACUGGGACUGAGACACGGCCCAGACUCCUACGGGAGGCAGCAGUGGGGAAUCUUGCGCAAUGGGCGAAAGCCUGACGCAGCGACGCCGCGUGGGGGAUGAAGGCCUUCGGGUUGUAAACCCCUUUCAGCAGGGACGAAGCGAAAGUGACGGUACCUGCAGAAGAAGCGCCGGCUAACUACGUGCCAGCAGCCGC
RNAcentral lists this ribosomal RNA (473 nucleotides) under uncultured bacterium. Its description in RNAcentral is "SSU rRNA". It matches the Rfam family "Bacterial small subunit ribosomal RNA", at positions 26 to 518 of the family's 1533-position model. The record is from RNAcentral.